CCUACGGGGGGCAGCAGUGAGGAAUAUUGGUCAAUGGGCGCAAGCCUGAACCAGCCAAGUCGCGUGAGGGAAGACGGCCCUACGGGUUGUAAACCUCUUUUGCCGGGGAGCAAGCCUGAGCACGUGUGCCCAGGCGGAGAGUACCCGGAGAAAAAGCAUCGGCUAACUCCGUGCCAGCAGCCGCGGUAAUACGGAGGAUGCGAGCGUUAUCCGGAUUGAUUGGGUUUAAAGGGUGCGCAGGCGGGCUGUUAAGCCGGCGGUAAAAAUUCAGGGCUCAACCCUGUCGAGCCGUCGGAACUGGCAGCCUUGAGUGGGCGAGAAGGAUGCGGAAUGCGUGGUGUAGCGGGGAAAUGCAUAGAUAUCACGCAGAACGCCGAUUGCGAAGGCAGCAUACCGGCGCCCGACUGACGCUGAGGCACGAAAGCGUGGGGAUCGAACAGGAUUAGAUACCCCAGUAGUC
RNAcentral lists this ribosomal RNA (460 nucleotides) under uncultured bacterium. RNAcentral's name for it is "partial 16S ribosomal RNA". It matches the Rfam family "Bacterial small subunit ribosomal RNA", at positions 338 to 795 of the family's 1533-position model. The record is from RNAcentral.